Molecule: ribosomal RNA, 467 nt
Filed under: uncultured bacterium
Lineage: Bacteria
Description: partial 16S ribosomal RNA
Rfam family: Bacterial small subunit ribosomal RNA
Source: RNAcentral
ACGAACGCUGGCGGCGUGCUUAACACCUGCAAGUCGCACGGAAAGGCCCUGCUUUUGUGGGGUGCUCGAGUGGCGAACGGGUGAGUAACACGUGAGUAACCUGCCCUUGACUUUGGGAUAACUUCAUGAAACUGGGGCUAAUACCGGAUAGGAGCUCCUGCUGCAUGGUGGGGGUUGGAAAGUUUCGGCGGUUGGGGAUGGACUCGCGGCUUAUCAGCUUGUUGGUGGGGUAGUGGCUUACCAAGGCUUUGACGGGUAGCCGGCCUGAGAGGGUGACCGGCCACAUUGGGACUGAGAUACGGCCCAGACUCCUACGGGAGGCAGCAGUGGGGAAUAUUGCACAAUGGGCGGAAGCCUGAUGCAGCAACGCCGCGUGCGGGAUGACGGCCUUCGGGUCGUAAACCGCUUUCGCCUGUGACGAAGCGUGAGUGACGGUAAUGGGUAAAGAAGCACCGGCUAACUACGUG